ACACUCCUACGGGAGGCAGCAGUGGGGAAUAUUGCACAAUGGGCGCAAGCCUGAUGCAGCCAUGCCGCGUGUAUGAAGAAGGCCUUCGGGUUGUAAAGUACUUUCAGCGGGGAGGAAGGCGAUAAGGUUAAUAACCUUGUCGAUUGACGUUACCCGCAGAAGAAGCACCGGCUAACUCCGUGCCAGCAGCCGCGGUAAUACGGAGGGUGCAAGCGUUAAUCGGAAUUACUGGGCGUAAAGCGCACGCAGGCGGUCUGUCAAGUCGGAUGUGAAAUCCCCGGGCUCAACCUGGGAACUGCAUUCGAAACUGGCAGGCUAGAGUCUUGUAGAGGGGGGUAGAAUUCCAGGUGUAGCGGUGAAAUGCGUAGAGAUCUGGAGGAAUACCGGUGGCGAAGGCGGCCCCCUGGACAAAGACUGACGCUCAGGUGCGAAAGCGUGGGGAGCAAACAGGAUUAGAAACCCGUGUAGUCCCAUGA
This 476-nucleotide ribosomal RNA is filed under the name uncultured organism. RNAcentral's name for it is "partial 16S ribosomal RNA". It matches the Rfam family "Bacterial small subunit ribosomal RNA", at positions 333 to 800 of the family's 1533-position model. The record is from RNAcentral.